UUCGGUUUAGGUUGAUUUGGUACCGACCUUGCUCCCAAGAUAAUAGCAAUGGAAAGCAGCAUUAGCUUCUGCUAUGAGCAAACAUCGCAAAACAGUGGCUUCAAGCAACAACCAUUGUCUUUAGUUCACUUACAUGAGUCGGCUGGAUGUUUCUUCUCGUACGUCUGCGGUCAUCUGGUGGGCCCGCAGGUGGUUGGGUAAUUCAUCGAGAUGGCCUCCUUUGCAGGUCUGGUGGCUGGAAGUCUUCUUGGCCUCUAGGGGUCUCCCAUGGUCUCCAGGCUUCCAGCAGGCCAUCCCAAGCUUCAUCCCAAGGAUACGAUAUUGCAUCUAUGUCUUGGUAUUCUUUAAAUACCUCUUCCCCGUGACACUUUUUCAGACUCAUUUUUGAUAACCUUGACCUUUCCAAGGAAUUCUGGUCAAGGGUUUUGUAGGAUUCCCCUCUACUGGAAUCUGCCUCAUGUUUUUCUCAGGCAUAGACUAGCACUCUGACCUUCUGAGAAGAAGACCACAGAGGGAAAGUGCCGUUUUUAUCACAUUGUCGCAAGAAAACCUACCCUCUACGUGAUUUAUUGCUGUUGGUUUUGACUUUGAUUAAUUGGCUAUCAUGUUUGGUAUCUCCACCAUGAGGUUACUCCUGCUCCCCUUUCCAUACUCUAGACUUUGGAAGAAAAGCUAUCUGCAGGGCUCACACAUAAGAAGUGGAGACCUGUGGUUGCCUGCCAGAGAAUCCGAAUAAAUUAUUUUGAAUUCUUCUGCAA
This is a long non-coding RNA of Neofelis nebulosa (Clouded leopard), 758 nucleotides long. RefSeq lists it as uncharacterized. The transcript is spliced from 2 exons. NCBI's taxonomy places the organism in Eukaryota, Metazoa, Chordata, Mammalia, Carnivora, Felidae. The record is from RefSeq and is a predicted model, not a curated record.